Molecule: ribosomal RNA, 465 nt
Filed under: uncultured bacterium
Lineage: Bacteria
Description: partial 16S ribosomal RNA
Rfam family: Bacterial small subunit ribosomal RNA
Source: RNAcentral
GACGAACGCUGGCGGCGUGCUUAUCACAUGCAAGUCGAACGGAAAGGCCCUGCUUGCAGGGUACUCGAGUGGCGAACGGGUGAGUAACACGUGGGUGAUCUGCCCUGCACUUCGGGAUAAGCCUGGGAAACUGGGUCUAAUACCGGAUAUGACCUUCCAUGUAGUGUGGGGGGUGGAAAGAUUUAUCGGUGUGGGAUGAGCCCGCGGCCUAUCAGCUUGUUGGUGGGGUAAUGGCCUACCAAGGCGUCGACGGGUAGCCGGCCUGAGAGGGUGGACGGCCACAUUGGGACUGAGAUACGGCCCAGACUCCUACGGGAGGCAGCAGUGGGGAAUAUUGCACAAUGGGCGGAAGCCUUAUGCAGCGACGCCGCGUGGGGGAUGACGGCCUUCGGGUUGUAAACCUCUUUCGACAGGGACGAAGCUUCGGUGACGGUACCUGUAUAAGAAGCACCGGCUAACUACGUG